This 251-nucleotide ribosomal RNA is filed under the name uncultured bacterium. RNAcentral describes it as "partial 16S ribosomal RNA". It matches the Rfam family "Bacterial small subunit ribosomal RNA", at positions 525 to 775 of the family's 1533-position model. The record is from RNAcentral.
ACGUAGGUGGCAAGCGUUGUCCGGAUUUACUGGGUGUAAAGGGCGUGCAGCCGGGUCUGCAAGUCAGAUGUGAAAUCCAUGGGCUCAACCCAUGAACUGCAUUUGAAACUGUGGAUCUUGAGUGUCGGAGGGGCAAUCGGAAUUCCUAGUGUAGCGGUGAAAUGCGUAGAUAUUAGGAGGAACACCAGUGGCGAAGGCGGAUUGCUGGACGAUAACUGACGGUGAGGCGCGAAAGUGUGGGGAGCAAACAG